GAUUAUUUAAAUAGCUGCAGUAUUUUGACUGUACAAAGGUAGCAUAAUCAUUAGUUUCUUAAUUGGAAACUUGUAUGAAUGGCUUUAUGAGAAAUAAGCUGUCUCUUAUUGAUUUUUAUAUAAUUUUAUUUUAGGUUAAAAAGCCUAAAUUUUUAUUAAAGACGAGAAGACCCUAUAGAGUUUGAUAUAUAAAUGGUUUUAAAUUUUUAGGAAUUGAUUUUUUUUAAUUUUUUAUUUAUUUGGUUGGGGUGACUGAAAAAUUGAUGUAACUUUUUUUAAUUUUUUCCAUUAAUUUAUGUUUUUUUGAUCCUUUGUUUUGAUUAUAAGAUUAAAUUACCUUAGGGAUAACAGCGUAAUUUUUUUGGAGAGUUCUUAUCGAUAAAAAAGUUUGCGACCUCGAUGUUGGAUUAAAAUUAAUAGUUGGCGAAGAAGUUGAUUAAUUAAGUCUGUUCGACUUUUGAAAUUUUACAUGAUCUGAGUUUAAACCGGUGUGAGCCAGGUUGGUUUCUAUCUUAAUUUAUUUAAUACAUUUUAGUACGAAAGGACCGGGUGUAGUUAAAAUUUAUUUUUUUAUGAGUAAGAUUAAUUACUUUGGCAGAUUAGUGCAUUAAAUUUAGAAUUUAAUUAUGUAUUUUUGAUACAGGUAAUACUUGAUUUUGAAAGAUUUGAUUUUGGUUUUUAUUAGAGGAUU
This 691-nucleotide ribosomal RNA is filed under the name Pelthydrus sp. SLE0032. RNAcentral's name for it is "partial 16S ribosomal RNA". The stretch from base 344 to 502 matches the Rfam family "Bacterial large subunit ribosomal RNA", at positions 2473 to 2632 of the family's 2925-position model. Lineage: Eukaryota; Metazoa; Arthropoda; Insecta; Coleoptera; Hydrophilidae. The record is from RNAcentral.